CUGCAGCUUUGUGCGGGAGAACAGCGAGAGAACAGCUCUAGACCGAAGCGUUAUGGCUCAGUUUGACUGCGGAGAUGACGACAGCCGCUGUUUGAGCAGUAGCAUUAUCACUAAUCUACACUCCUGUUCUGAAAACAGUCGCUCAGUGAGUAAUUGUAGGGGAAGCCCAGAUGGUGGCCAGGUGGAGGUUUGCAGAGACAUGUCUUCAGCUCUCAGAUCAGCGGCCUUAAUGCGCACAUUGAAUCUGAAAAAAAUACACGCACCUGUGCUGUUCUCAGUACCGAGACCCGAGGAGAAUCCAACUCUGUCUCUAUUAGAUAAUCAGGAUACAAGUCCAGAAGGGGCAGCAGAUCUAGCUGAGGAGGAAGUGUUCAGUGUAUCAUUCCAGUCAAAGUACAUUGAUUUUU
Long non-coding RNA from Morone saxatilis (striped sea-bass), 407 nucleotides. RefSeq lists it as uncharacterized. The transcript is spliced from 3 exons. The record is from RefSeq and is a predicted model, not a curated record. NCBI's taxonomy places the organism in Eukaryota, Metazoa, Chordata, Actinopteri, Moronidae.